CUUGCUCCCGGAUGUUAGCGGCGGACGGGUGAGUAACACGUGGGUAACCUGCCUGUAAGACUGGGAUAACUCCGGGAAACCGGAGCUAAUACCGGAUAGUUCCUUGAACCGCAUGGUUCAAGGAUGAAAGACGGUUUCGGCUGUCACUUACAGAUGGACCCGCGGCGCAUUAGCUAGUUGGUGAGGUAACGGCUCACCAAGGCGACGAUGCGUAGCCGACCUGAGAGGGUGAUCGGCCACACUGGGACUGAGACACGGCCCAGACUCCUACGGGAGGCAGCAGUAGGGAAUCUUCCGCAAUGGACGAAAGUCUGACGGAGCAACGCCGCGUGAGUGAUGAAGGUUUUCGGAUCGUAAAGCUCUGUUGUUAGGGAAGAACAAGUGCAAGAGUAACUGCUUGCACCUUGACGGUACCUAACCAGAAAGCCACGGCUAACUACGUGCCAGCAGCCGCGGUAAUACGUAGGUGGCAAGCGUUGUCCGGAAUUAUUGGGCGUAAAGGGCUCGCAGGCGGUUUCUUAAGUCUGAUGUGAAAGCCCCCGGCUCAACCGGGGAGGGUCAUUGGAAACUGGGAAACUUGAGUGCAGAAGAGGAGAGUGGAAUUCCACGUGUAGCGGUGAAAUGCGUAGAGAUGUGGAGGAACACCAGUGGCGAAGGCGACUCUCUGGUCUGUAACUGACGCUGAGGAGCGAAAGCGUGGGGAGCGAACAGGAUUAGAUACCCUGGUAGUCCACGCCGUAAACGAUGAGUGCUAAGUGUUAGGGGGUUUCCGCCCCUUAGUGCUGCAGCUAACGCAUUAAGCACUCCGCCUGGGGAGUACGGUCGCAAGACUGAAACUCAAAGGAAUUGACGGGGGCCCGCACAAGCGGUGGAGCAUGUGGUUUAAUUCGAAGCAACGCGAAGAACCUUACCAGGUCUUGACAUCCUCUGACAACCCUAGAGAUAGGGCUUUCCCUUCGGGGACAGAGUGACAGGUGGUGCAUGGUUGUCGUCAGCUCGUGUCGUGAGAUGUUGGGUUAAGUCCCGCAACGAGCGCAACCCUUGAUCUUAGUUGCCAGCAUUCAGUUGGGCACUCUAAGGUGACUGCCGGUGACAAACCGGAGGAAGGUGGGGAUGACGUCAAAUCAUCAUGCCCCUUA
RNAcentral lists this ribosomal RNA (1139 nucleotides) under Bacillus sp. (in: firmicutes). Its description in RNAcentral is "bacterial SSU rRNA". It matches the Rfam family "Bacterial small subunit ribosomal RNA", at positions 79 to 1204 of the family's 1533-position model. The record is from RNAcentral. Lineage: Bacteria; Bacillati; Bacillota; Bacilli; Caryophanales; Bacillaceae.